GACGAACGCUGGCGGCGUGCUUAACACAUGCAAGUCGAACGGAAAGGCCCUGCUUUUGUGGGGUGCUCGAGUGGCGAACGGGUGAGUAACACGUGAGUAACCUGCCCUUGACUUUGGGAUAACUUCAGGAAACUGGGGCUAAUACCGGAUAGGAGCUCCUGCUGCAUGGGGGGGGUUGGAAAGUUUCGGCGGUUGGGGAUGGACUCGCGGCUUAUCAGCUUGUUGGUGGGGUAGUGGCUUACCAAGGCUUUGACGGGUAGCCGGCCUGAGAGGGUGACCGGCCACAUUGGGACUGAGAUACGGCCCAGCCUCCUACGGGAGGCAGCAGUGGGGAAUAUUGCACAAUGGGCGGAAGCCUGAUGCAGCAACGCCGCGUGCGGGAUGACGGCCUUCGGGUUGUAAACCGCUUUCGCCUGUGACGAAGCGUGAGUGACGGUAAUGGGUAAAGAAGCACCGGCUAACUACGUG
RNAcentral lists this ribosomal RNA (468 nucleotides) under uncultured bacterium. Its description in RNAcentral is "partial 16S ribosomal RNA". It matches the Rfam family "Bacterial small subunit ribosomal RNA", at positions 28 to 507 of the family's 1533-position model. The record is from RNAcentral.